GACGAAGGGGGCUAGCGUUGUUCGGAAUUACUGGGCGUAAAGCGCGUGUAGGCGGUUGCCAUAGUCAGGUGUGAAAGCCUUGAGCUUAACUCAAGAAAUGCACUUGAUACUGGGCGACUAGAGGACCGGAGAGGAUAGUGGAAUUCCCAGUGUAGUGGUGAAAUACGUAGAGAUUGGGAAGAACACCAGUGGCGAAGGCGGCUAUCUGGACGGUUACUGACGCUAAGGUGCGAAAGCGUGGGGAGCAAACAGG
Molecule: ribosomal RNA, 253 nt
Filed under: uncultured bacterium
Lineage: Bacteria
Description: partial 16S ribosomal RNA
Rfam family: Bacterial small subunit ribosomal RNA
Source: RNAcentral